Cyprinus carpio carpio is the source of this 994-nucleotide long non-coding RNA. Lineage: Eukaryota; Metazoa; Chordata; Actinopteri; Cypriniformes; Cyprinidae. The record is from Ensembl.
GUCGUUGCUAUCGCUUGGCGAGGUGAGGAAACAGCGCUCGCUGACAUUGUGUUAACAUCUCAUACAAUCUGUGGUAAUCUAAGACAUUGUCGCACCAUCCAUCGACAGCUCUAACAGUAUUUGUUUAUUUACAGAACCAUCUUCUCAUCAUGAGAGCGAAGGUAAGUACCUUUUUGAUAUACAUGUUAAAUAGUUUAUCGUUCUCUAGCUAGUCUUGAUAGCAUUUUGGUGGCUAAUGCGGUACUUAUUAUACUAAUUUAGUUGUUUGUUGUGAUUUAGCUGAAUAUUAAGUUUACUUUUAACUAUGUGAAGUAAAAUGCCUAACUGAGAGAUUUAAGUUGGUGUGUUUUUUUUUUUUUUUUGUAGUGUUGUAUACUCGGGCCUACUGUGCUAACGAUAGCCCGCUAGUUUUUUCGCAGGGAUAUUGUAACCACGUUGAGUUUGCAGUUGCUGCAAGUUAUUGUUUCUGGGUUUUUUUUUUUUUUUUUAUUGACUUAAACAUUAACACUUGAAAUAAUAGUACACCAUGUUACGUAUUUAUCGCUUUUUGGUUUCUUAAUACUAAUCCGUCUGAACGCCCAUGUUGCUUAGUGAAAAUAUAGCCAGUGGCGCUAGUAGCUAAUGCGCAUGUGUAGCUUUGAGUUGCAGUGUUUCUUUAAACUGCCUAAUUCCCUUUUAACAAUCAUUUUUAUUAAUUUUGCACUUUUCUUGCAGUGGCGAAAGAAGCGUAUGCGCAGGCUGAAGCGUAAAAGGAGAAAGAUGAGGCAGAGGUCUAAGUAAACUGGACCCUGUUCGCUGAAGCUGAGAGUGCUCCUCUACUUCAAUCUCCUCAGCAAGAGUCUGCUUUCUUCUGAAUGAGGAUUUGGUUUCCCAUCACCUGGUUCUGCAGAAGCAUCCUGGUCUUGAUGACCAUGUGAACUGUUUUGGACAUUCCUUAGACCUGUCAGCUCAGCAAGUUUGUUAAUGUCUUCAAUAAAUCUUUUGGUUUAAAAAU